RNAcentral lists this ribosomal RNA (479 nucleotides) under uncultured organism. RNAcentral describes it as "SSU rRNA". It matches the Rfam family "Bacterial small subunit ribosomal RNA", at positions 32 to 509 of the family's 1533-position model. The record is from RNAcentral.
AACGCUGGCGGCGUGCUUAAUACAUGCAAGUCGAACGAAGCACUUUCCCCUGACUUUUUCGGAACGAAGGGGGUUGUGACUUAGUGGCGGACGGGUGAGUAACGCGUGGAUAACCUGCCCCAUGCAGGGGGACAACAGCUGGAAACGGCUGCUAAUACCGCAUAAGCGCACAGUGAGGCAUCUCACGGUGUGAAAAGAUUUAUCGGCAUGAGAUGGAUCCGCGUCUGAUUAGCCAGUUGGCGGGGUAACGGCCCACCAAAGCGACGAUCAGUAGCCGACUUGAGAGAGUGAUCGGCCACAUUGGGACUGAGACACGGCCCAGACUCCUACGGGAGGCAGCAGUAGGGAAUAUUGCACAAUGGGGGAAACCCUGAUGCAGCGACGCCGCGUGAGUGAUGAAGUAUUUCGGUACGUAAAGCUCUAUCAGCAGGGAAGAUGAUGACGGUACCUGACUAAGAAGCCCCGGCUAACUACGUGCC